This 541-nucleotide ribosomal RNA is filed under the name uncultured bacterium. RNAcentral's name for it is "bacterial SSU rRNA". It matches the Rfam family "Bacterial small subunit ribosomal RNA", at positions 12 to 563 of the family's 1533-position model. The record is from RNAcentral.
UUUUAUCCUGGCUCAGGACGAACGCUGGCGGCGUGCUUAACACAUGCAAGUCAAGGGGGCCCAGCAAUGGGCAACCGGCGAACGGGUGCGUAACACGUGAGCAACCUACCGAACUGUGGGGGAUAGCCGGCCUAACGGCCGAGUAAUACCGCAUACGCUUUCCGAAAGGCAUUUUUUGGAAAGGAAACCUACGGGACAGAUCGAGGGGCUCGCGGCCUAUCAGCUAGUUGGCGAGGUAAUGGCUCACCAAGGCUACGACGGGUAGCUGGUCUGAGAGGAUGGCCAGCCACAUUGGGACUGAGAUACGGCCCAGACUCCUACGGGAGGCAGCAGUGGGGAAUCUUGCGCAAUGGCCUGACGGCUGACGCAGCGACGCCGCGUGUGGGAUGAAGCUCCUCGGAGUGUAAACCACUGUUGCCCGGGACGAAUAGCUCGAUUAAUCGAGCCUGACGGUACCGGGUGAGGAAGCACCGGCUAACUCCGUGCCAACAGCCGCGGUAAUACCGGGGGUGCGAGCGUUGUCCGGAAUCACUGGGCGUAA